UAUACAAAGAGAAGCGACCUCGCGAGAGCAAGCGGACCUCAUAAAGUAUGUCGUAGUCCGGAUUGGAGUCUGCAACUCGACUCCAUGAAGUCGGAAUCGCUAGUAAUCGUGGAUCAGAAUGCCACGGUGAAUACGUUCCCGGGCCUUGUACACACCGCCCGUCACACCAUGGGAGUGGGUUGCAAAAGAAGUAGGUAGCUUAACCUUCGGGAGGGCGCUUACCACUUUGUGAUUCAUGACUGGGGUGAAGUCGUAACAAGGUAACCGUAGGGGAACCUGCGGUUGGAUCACCUCCUUA
Molecule: ribosomal RNA, 298 nt
Filed under: Salmonella enterica
Lineage: Bacteria; Pseudomonadati; Pseudomonadota; Gammaproteobacteria; Enterobacterales; Enterobacteriaceae
Also listed under: 4 other names
Description: partial 16S ribosomal RNA
Rfam family: Bacterial small subunit ribosomal RNA
Source: RNAcentral